UAGCUCCGUUAUGAUGGGGGGCUUCCAAGAAGUAGCACUGCCUCCUUUUCACAGCACCUGAAAAGAAAUCCUGUUCUACGCGGCUUAAGCUUUGCUUCCAUUUACGUGAUUGUAAAUGCAGAACAACUGCAAAGGAGUCAGUCCUGUCACUGUAUUUAUACUGGGGUAGGAAGGUGGUCAAAAAAAAGCCCAAGUUUGCCAUUUAAUCUCUAUAAUCUCUAUACACUCUGUAAAUUUCAUUGUCAGGGUGAUAUUCUCUUUCAGGUUGAUUUUAGCCAAUAAUCUGAGGCCAUUUCUGUUGUAAUAAUUCCUGUUCUGUGACUUUAUUGUUGCAUGCUUUGUUUCAUCAUUGAAUAUUUUUGUGGACAGGAUGUCUUUAGGAUAAAUUGUUUUCAUUUAAUAUAAAGUAUUCCCAGAUCUUUACUUUUUCAGCCUAUAUGCAGUCUGUAUUUUGAAUACUUCUUUUCUUUCUUUCUUUUUCUUUAUAUUGCAUCGACUAAUGUCUUAUUAUGGGAAUAAAGUUGUGUAGUUUAGCUUUGUCCCCUUCUGAUUGAACCCCUGCUGUAAUAUCUAGUGGGUUUCAUACAUCUCUUCUCAGCACUAGGCCUACAUCUGCAUAAUAUAUAUUUACCAUUAAAAUGUUAAUAUUAAAUAUUGAUUAAAACACACUGUUGUCUGAAGUGUGUGUGUCCCAGCACAGCAAUUCUCUAGCGCCUGCAUGCAGACCCUCUAUGAGUGUUUCAGUUCCCAGCACCAAUGCAGAACACGCACCUGUCUCCUCUUCCUGGAAAACAAGAGAGGGAAAUGUUGCAUGAAGAGAGGCCAUAUGCAACGACAUGUCAAUCUGCUACCUAUUUUUAAAUAUUCACAUAACCCCCACUUAUUGGAAAGAAAGAUGUCUAUUCUGAGAAAGUGACAGCUGAAUCAGUAACCUCUGCCUCUCGCAAUUACAAGAAGCUGAUGAUCAGCUGGCGGAUGGGACUGUGCAGUUGGAAGGAGACAUAACUUACUGCAGAAGUGAAGAUUUUUCCUUGGAAACCUCUGAAAGAAAUCUCUGCUGCUUCCCAGUUGAGAGCUAUUCUACAACACCAAAAUCAUUCCAGAAGGUUUAGAGUUGUAAUUUGUCAGACCGCAGUUGCUCACCAGAAAAGGAAUGAGUCAAGAAUAGCUGGCUUGUUUAGGCCACCUGAUUGCAAGUGCAAUUUCAGUUACCUCUGAAAAGCCUGCUGAUGUCACUGGGGACUGGAUGAACCAAGAGUGGACCUUGACCCUUAUUGUUUAGAAUGGUGCACAUCCUCUGGAAGUAAGUCUAUGAGGUUUUGGAGAUACUUCAAGCUUCCAUCAUCAGUGUGGAAACUGGUUGCUUGCCUCUGCAAAGCCAAGGCAGCAGCAGAAUCUUGAUCUAGGACACAACAUAAAUGCUUGAAUGCUAUCCUGUUGUGGAAUGAUGGUAAGUUUCUUUACCAUUAAGAAAGGAAACUGAAGAGGAGAGGACGCGUUAAGUCUUCAAAUGUAUAAAAAGCCUCUGUGAAGAGGGAAGUGUGCUGUGGCUGUAAGCACCGCGCAGUCCAGCCCGCCGCGUUUGGGGCGAGUCAGCUCUGCCAGCUUUAAUCACUCACGUUAGCCUCGUGAAGAGAAAGGAGCAGAAAAUACCACUCAGCAAGGCGGUGAGGCCAUGAAAUUGUGUUAAGCCACACUCCCGAAAACGGCUGGAUUUGCUAUUUUAGUACAAACUUCAUCCAUACACUCCCAUGAGCAUGAAGACACUACAAGCAUGUAAGAAAACACUGGGGCUCUAAGGCCAUAAUCCUGGAAAUUCCUACAUAGAGGUCCUGUAUACAGGAUUACUUUGUUUCCCUGUACCCUGUGUAUGUUGUGACACAAAGCUCAGUUGGGUGGUCCCAUGAUGGUGUGUGCUGUGGUAUCUCUGACUUGGGAACCUUGGGGCCUGUAGGAGCUACAGGAGCUCAAUGAGGUCCACUGGCAUGUGCUCUGCUCCUGGGUUGGACAGCAUCUGAUUUGCCUGUUGCAUUGCCUGCAAGUCCUUCAUGUCUCAGUCCUGUCUGUCUUGGAAGAUGCAGAGAGAACUUGCAGCCUCCAGACGCCGAGGAGAACCACACCAGAGCUGGAAAUUAAAAUGUCCACAGUGAAAACCAUCCACCUACGUAAUUUUUUUAAGGAAACUUAACUGGACUAAAAAAUGUACAUAAGAUAACUUGAAGACACAUGGAAAACAAAAUGCAGCCUCCUCCUGACCUGGAAACAGAGAAGAUUUCCAUCACUGGUAUGACCAGGCCUUUUUGUAGCUAAUUUCUCAUGAAACAGUUAGAUAUGGUCUAGUCACAGGAUACAAAUACACAAAUGUUACUUUUUGGAAUGCAUUCUUCUACCCUGGAUGGCUUGUACCAUGUUAUUUAACAUUAUUUCUGUUACAUUGUGAGCCUGUACUGUACUAAGCUGUAAGCAUUACUCAACUGUUGUCAAAUAGAAACAGUUUUGGGUGCUAACUUUAAAUGCCCAAGGAAAAUGAGUGAAGUAUAUAUACCUAAAAUACAUGAAUAAUUCCUAACAAUAAAUGAUUUUGUGUGUGUGUGUGCAUGUGAAGAAGAUACAAAAAGACCAUACCUUGCUCUGAAAUGACAUAAUAAUUGGGGUUACUGACGGAUUACUGUGUAUGUUCUGACAUGACAUUAGAUUAAAAUUAUUGAAUAUUACUUGAAAGCAGGGUAAUGCCUUGUCAAAGGCCUCAGACUACCCUUCUUGCACUGCACUGCCCUCUGUUUAGCUGCAGAAUAGGUACAGGUUUGACCAUUUUAGCAUCUUCCUGCACUGGGGUUGUACCUAUUUAAAUGUGCUUUGGUUAUUGAUAACUUUAUGGAGGCAGAUGUGUUUCUGGAUUAGCUAGGGAGAGCAGUGUGUCUCUAUAAAGUAAUUACAGGAUUGCUGCUCAGCCAAUUGGAUUCUGGGGCAAUUCAAACAGGAAUUGUAUACACAUGUAAAGAAGGCUAUUAUGGGGCUGGAUUGCAUUAAAGGGAAAAGCCAAAAGCAGUGGAUAAAACUGAGCAAAGGAACAUGAAGGAAUAGUGAGAAAAAUAAAUAUAUAUGCCAAUAAAUUGCAAAAACUGGUU
This is a non-coding RNA of Anas platyrhynchos (mallard), 3128 nucleotides long. The record is from RefSeq and is a predicted model, not a curated record. Lineage: Eukaryota; Metazoa; Chordata; Aves; Anseriformes; Anatidae.